RNAcentral lists this ribosomal RNA (409 nucleotides) under bacterium. RNAcentral's name for it is "partial 16S ribosomal RNA". It matches the Rfam family "Bacterial small subunit ribosomal RNA", at positions 355 to 776 of the family's 1533-position model. The record is from RNAcentral.
UGGGGAAUAUUGCACAAUGGGCGAAAGCCUGAUGCAGCGACGCCGCGUGAGGGAUGACGGCCUUCGGGUUGUAAACCUCUUUCAGUAGGGACGAAGCGCAAGUGACGGUACCUGCAGAAGAAGCACCGGCUAACUACGUGCCAGCAGCCGCGGUAAUACGUAGGGUGCGAGCGUUGUCCGGAAUUACUGGGCGUAAAGAGCUCGUAGGCGGUUUGUCACGUCGUCUGGGAAAUCCUAGGGCUUAACCCUGGACGUGCAGGCGAUACGGGCUGACUUGAGUACUACAGGGGAGACUGGAAUUUCUGGUGUAGCGGUGGAAUGCACAGAUAUCAGGAAGAACACCGAUGGCGAAGGCAGGUCUCUGGGUAGUAACUGACGCUGAGGAGCGAAAGCAUGGGUAGCGAACAGG